Molecule: signal recognition particle RNA, 305 nt
Filed under: Caldisphaera lagunensis DSM 15908
Lineage: Archaea; Thermoproteati; Thermoproteota; Thermoprotei; Acidilobales; Acidilobaceae
Description: Archaeal signal recognition particle RNA
Rfam family: Archaeal signal recognition particle RNA
Source: Rfam by way of RNAcentral
UGUGCGGGUAGGGUCGAAGGGUUCGCCACCCUUUAAAACCGAAGGCGUAAUGCGGGACCAGUAAUCCCAUCAUGUCAUGCUAUGUAAUGAAUGGUCCCUAUGAUAAGAUGAACUCCGCGCCGUGGAGUUUGCAGUGGUUGAGGGUCUAUCGGAGGAUAGAUACCUACAACCUUAAUCGGGAGAACCUGGCCAGGCCCGGAAGGGAGCAACCUGUGCCCGAAUGCAAACGUUCACGGUUUGCGGAGUAGAUUUAUCGUAGGGGUAAAACCUUCAUUGCAUAGCAUGACAUGAUGGGAAGCCGCACA